Molecule: ribosomal RNA, 440 nt
Filed under: uncultured bacterium
Lineage: Bacteria
Description: partial 16S ribosomal RNA
Rfam family: Bacterial small subunit ribosomal RNA
Source: RNAcentral
CCUACGGGUGGCAGCAGUAGGGAAUAUUGCACAAUGGGGGAAACCCUGAUGCAGCGACGCCGCGUGAGUGAUGAAGGAUUUAGGUAUGUAAAGCCCUAUUGUCAGGGAAGAAAAUGACGGUAUCUCACGAAUAAGCACCGGCUAACUACGUGCCAGCAGCCGCGGUAAUACGGAGGGUGCAAGCGUUACUCGGAAUCACUGGGCGUAAAGAGUGCGGAGGCGGGAGUGGAAGUCCGUUGUGAAAUGCUGGAGCUUAACCACGGAACUGCAUUUGAAACUAUGAGUCUAGAGUGCAGGAGAGGUAGGUGGAAUUCUUGGUGUAGCGGUAAAAUGCGUAGAUAUUAAGAGGAACACUCAUGGCGAAGGCGACCUACUGGAAUAUUACUGACGUUCAGGCUCGAAAGCGUGGGGAGCAAACAGGAUUAGAUACCCGUGUAGUC